This is a transfer RNA of Saccharomyces kudriavzevii IFO 1802, 73 nucleotides long. It matches the Rfam family "tRNA". From Rfam's summary of the family: Transfer RNA (tRNA) molecules are approximately 80 nucleotides in length. Their secondary structure includes four short double-helical elements and three loops (D, anti-codon, and T loops). Lineage: Eukaryota; Fungi; Ascomycota; Saccharomycetes; Saccharomycetales; Saccharomycetaceae. The record is from Rfam.
GCUUCUAUGGCCAAGUUGGUAAGGCGCCACACUAGUAAUGUGGAGAUCGUCGGUUCAAAUCCGACUGGAAGCA